Daucus carota subsp. sativus is the source of this 1327-nucleotide RNA transcript. RefSeq lists it as uncharacterized. The record is from RefSeq and is a predicted model, not a curated record. The transcript has 5 exons. Lineage: Eukaryota; Viridiplantae; Streptophyta; Magnoliopsida; Apiales; Apiaceae.
UUAUAAAAAAAUCUAUUUAAUUAUGUACUAUACAAGUUAAGAUUAGCUUAUUAAUAUUCUUUGUGUAAUAUUAUAUUUUUUUUUUCUUAUUUGCUAAGGAAUGUAGAACAUCCAGCAUCUUAUGAUUGGAAUUAUAGACACUGUGGACGACGGUAUUGAUUGGGAUAUUACCCUGGACAACUCUCAGAUUGACUGGGAUAUCGGCACUGUUGAGGAGGCGGACGAUAGUAGUAAUGGUUUAGCAUCUUAUGAAAUUAUCAAUGCCAGUGAUAUUAAACAUAGUUAUUCCCAAAAUGAUGCUGAAAUGACUGAUCAGGCCUCAUUAAAGAACUAUCUGCACCUGUUAAAGAACUAUCUGCACCUGCGUAUAAUGCUACGAAUGAGACUCAGGAGAGAAGCCAGUUUCUGGAGACAGAGUACAGUAGUAAGGUCCUUGAUGAUGUAUUUGAGAUUAAGGCGUUUCUUCAUCAAAGAUUGACCGAGUUGAGCAAUGGAGAUACUUUAUCUUUGCAACAUCAAGUUGAAGCAGUUGCUCCAUUUGUUUUGCAGCAAUACACUUGUGAUGCAAUUCAUACAAUGCUAUCUGAUAUAUCCUUGGCAAUAUCGUUACUGACGAAUAGGAAAACACGAGACCUAAUCAUGAUACUCAACUCCAAGAGAUUUCUUGAUCGACUCGUGAGUACCCUGGCUGGAAGAGAAGAAGAACCAUCAAGUAAAGAUGAAAGAGGCAUUGAAGGACUUGGAAGUGAGACGCAUGGAGCUCCAGAAUUCCUUAUCAACUAUUUAGACAACUCCGACUGCAUAACAAAAACUAGUGAACACUUUAGAGGUAACGGGGAUAUUGCAAAUUUGGCGAAAAAGAGGUUGAUGUGGACUCUUUAGUUCAGCAAUUUGAUGUUUGAUUCAUCACACAUCCAGGGUCGAGAAGAAGACUUCCGUGCCUUUCUUUCGAUUUUUAAUUUGUGUUGUCUAGUCUCUAGCCAUCUUCCGCUUGUCCAAGUACCAAAACGCUACACGAUGUAGCGUUUACCUGUACUUUUUCUGUUAUAGUAUAUAGCUUGCUCCUACCAGGUUAUAUACACAAUACUCAUUUUCACAGCUUGGGAAUAUAAUUUGCACUUGUUUACAUUGACUCCCUGUACAGACAAGUGACUUGUAAUGAGAAUUUGAAGUUGGAGGUUACAAAAAUGCAGUCAGCCACAAGAACUCAUUAACCCUUGGAAAUAUUGUCACCUUAUCAUGAAAUGCAAUUGUUUUAAACAAUUUCAUCCUCUACAAGUUGUGAGCCGAACGAACUCGUAAAUGACAAUUAUUUCCAGAACUCGAG